Long non-coding RNA from Melozone crissalis (California towhee), 3181 nucleotides. RefSeq lists it as uncharacterized. The record is from RefSeq and is a predicted model, not a curated record. The transcript has 3 exons. Lineage: Eukaryota; Metazoa; Chordata; Aves; Passeriformes; Passerellidae.
GAAAUUCUUUAUACUCAAAUGAAAUUAGGCAUGCAAUAGCCAGUACCAGGUGCAGAAAUGUGUGAAUUUGCAAAACUUAUUUCUGCCAGAAUUUCUUAGUGAAGUUGAAGCAGACAUAACUUUCAACUACAAAAAAACUACUCAGUCUUUAUGAUUAAACCCCAGAAUCUCAUGAAUUAACAAUUAGUAGAGGUUUGCUUUUCAAUUCUUUUGACUACUCUUGCUUGACAUAACCAGGAACUAUCAUAGUAACCAAUACUAAGGCAUUUGUGAGUGUGAAGAACUAGCAAGGAGCAUUAUUUUUAACUUUUGUUUCUAAGCAGUGCGAUAGCAACAACACUGGUGCUGCGACAACACUCCUCUGCCUCAGCUCUGCCCACAAGCCCUACCUUAAGCUAAGGAAGAGUACAUGCUUGGAGAAUUCCAUUAUUAAUGAUCUACAAAAUUUACAUCGUUAUAUGAAAAAAAAAAUAAUCUUCUGCCAACAUUUGGACAUUUCAAACUUGUCUUACUGCUCAAAAUAAAAAACACAGGGAUCAGUCAUUUUGGCAGGAAAAGCUUUUUUGUAUGGUUCGUAAUGUGCAUUGUCAGAAUUGACCUUGAACUGAGAAGCCUAGCCUACCAUGUUAUUGAACAGCACCAAAGAACAAUCUCCUGUAUCAUGAGGGGAGGGCAGGUAUUACAGAAAGCAUUCAAAAUGGUGAUCAAGAGAAAGAGCACCCCUGGAAGUGAAAGCACCUCUCUGGACCUGCAGGAGAGCUUACUAUAAGUGAAACAGAGAGCUAUCAAAAAGUGAAGCCACCAGACAAGUGAGAAGACAUUACAUAUGGUCAUACAACAGCAGAAGCCAGGAGAGAGCUCAGCUGCAUAGCAACUGAGGUUUCAGAAGAACAGAAGACUGAGGCAUCUUCCUCCUUUUAUGCAAGGAAUUAUGAAGAUAGCCUGAAUUUCAAAAGCCCAGGAGAAAUAAGAAAGGGGGAAAGAGUAAACAAAAAUAGGAUGUGAACCCCUUUGACUUUCCAUAGAGUUUGUAUCUUCAGCAUAUCAAAACAGUACUGAAAAAAGGGGAUCAGUAGCAACAAGGAAAAAAAAAUACUGCAGGAAAAAAAGUAAGAUAGAGAGAAAAUAAUCUCCUAAGAUCACUUUUUUUAAGAAAUGAAAACACUUAGCCAAAUUGUCAGUGUCCUUGGUCAAGUGCAUUGUAUAUAAAAUCUGAAGUUGCAGAGAAGCAGAAAACUUUUGUCCCCUGUAAAAUUGGUAGGAAAAAGAAAAAAAAGCAAAUAUGGAAAAAUAUUUUCUUUAAACAUGAAUAACAGUCCGUUUUUUCUGCAACAUGUGAUAUUCCAUGAGUAUCCUGCUUCUGCUUUUUGAGACUGAAAAUCUCUGAGAACCUUCUGGAGGAAUCCAUACCCUCCAGAAGGCAAAUUCCUCCAAGCUCCUAUAAAACUUAGAAAAAAAAUACAAACCUCAAACUACUCUGUUCCUUCCUGCUGUCAUACAAACACAGGUGUCUGUAUCUUAGAACCUUAAAGAUCCUGUAUUAUUUAUUUUUGCUUCUUAGAGAAUGAUACCCGGGUUUGUGUCCACACUGUGCUUUUCUGAUGACCAGCCAGUCUGAAGUGGCAUUUGCCUGCCUGUUUACCAAACAUCCAGCAUAGUGUGGUUGGCCUUUAUUCAGGGGAUAAAAGUAGGUCUCCCAAGACAUCCUGAACCUUCAAUUCUUGGUAACUUCAUUCUGCUAUGACUAUAGGAAAGGUAAGCACAGGUUCACUCUUUUUGUCUGAGAAAUGCCAGGACUGUUACAAAGCACCAAGGGGAAUCACAGUUUUGCUGCUAGUGAGCAAAGACUAGUUUUUCUCUGAAACCAUUUCUUUAUUUCUAUACAAAAUAUAGAAAUAUAUUCUUAUUAGAAUAUAAGAAUAGAUAAAUAUAUAUAAAUAUAUAUAUAAAUAGGCUUAUUGCUCUUCAUAUUAUACUUCUGUCUUCUACUGGAGAAGGAAGAGGAAAUGAGAAGAAGUAAUCUAUUGGCAGCUUUUCAUGUUACUGUUUAUGUCCAUUGUUGAAUCAUGAGAAUGAAUUACAGAACAACCCUGAAUUUAUAGAAGCAAUUGGUUUUCACAUUUCACAACUAACAUCCAUUUUAAUAAUUUAGUGCAUUAAUAAAUCAUCAUCUUUGCAGUGCAUUGCACUGCCCUCUCUGUCUCUCUUUACCUUUUCAUUCAAAAACAUUCUGCCUGUAUGAUAUACCUGAUAUCGUGUCUCCUAUUGUUCCUGCAUUACUGUAUCUCUCAGGCCACCCUCAAAGUCAUCUACUUCAAAUACAAAUGUGAAUUUUGAAACUGCAGAAGGUGUAGUAAAAAAUUACUCGAAUAAAUCUGUUCUAUUUUAUUUAGCUACUGAUUCAGCUGUUCCACUUUGCAACUGUUUGUGAUUUGUGGACUUGAGGGAGAGCAGUCUCCUCCUCACAGUUUCUUGGUUAGAGAAAGAAACCAUUCAAAAGCCCUACUGUGGGCUAUUAUCCCCAAAGUUCAAAUUUAAAUCCUGACUUUCCAAACAACUUUCCUCUUUCCUGUGGAGCACAUCUUGAAUACAUUUCUUCUGAGGGAAUUUCCAGCUCCUUCUCAAAGCACCAUCACAUUACUAAUUUGUUAUUGAUUAGGGAAAUAUUAGCAUAUCUCCAAUCUGAAGGUUGGUUUUUUUUCACUCUGGUUAUUUUCUUUGUUUCCAGCAACUACAGAGCAUUAGGAAAUCUAUUUAGUGGGGGUUAAGUGAGCUCUGCAGAUCAUUCAUUGGCUGUUGGUCUAAAGCCACACUGCUGGGUUGAUGUUGCAUAUCCAUUUAGUCUUAUGAUUUGAGGUUUCAUGCUAAAUUAACAGUUUUAGGGGUUGUAACUAAUUUUUACACACAGUAUCAAGUGAAGUUAUUUUGCUGCUUCAUUAUCUGUUUAAAUAGAAGUCUGUGACCCUAUGUUUACCCAGAUAUAUAGUACACAUUGAUUAUAUGCAAAUAAUCAAUCUCUUUUGGGUUUUCUGAUAAGAAAUUGCCAGAAAGCUAAAGUAAAAAAAUUCUUAGAAUAAACUCAUUGACAUAAAAUUAAUUUUCUUCUCUCUGUACUCUAAGUCAUCUAGCAUGCUUCCAGUAGUUGUAACAAUACUGAGCUCUUUCAGAAACAAGUGUAAUA